GGGGAAUAUUGCGCAAUGGGGGCAACCCUGACGCAGCAACGCCGCGUGCAGGAAGAAGGUCUUCGGAUUGUAAACUGUUGUCGCAAGGGAAGAAGACAGUGACGGUACCUUGUGAGAAAGUCACGGCUAACUACGUGCCAGCAGCCGCGGUAAUACGUAGGUGACAAGCGUUGUCCGGAUUUACUGGGUGUAAAGGGCGCGUAGGCGGACUGUCAAGUCAGUCGUGAAAUACCGGGGCUUAACCCCGGGGCUGCGAUUGAAACUGACAGCCUUGAGUAUCGGAGAGGAAAGCGGAAUUCCUAGUGUAGCGGUGAAAUGCGUAGAUAUUAGGAGGAACACCAGUGGCGAAGGCGGCUUUCUGGACGACAACUGACGCUGAGGCGCGAAAGUGUGGGGAGCAAAC
RNAcentral lists this ribosomal RNA (403 nucleotides) under uncultured bacterium. RNAcentral describes it as "bacterial SSU rRNA". It matches the Rfam family "Bacterial small subunit ribosomal RNA", at positions 356 to 773 of the family's 1533-position model. The record is from RNAcentral.